RNAcentral lists this ribosomal RNA (696 nucleotides) under uncultured Parvibaculum sp. Its description in RNAcentral is "bacterial SSU rRNA". It matches the Rfam family "Bacterial small subunit ribosomal RNA", at positions 869 to 1533 of the family's 1533-position model. Lineage: Bacteria; Pseudomonadati; Pseudomonadota; Alphaproteobacteria; Hyphomicrobiales; Parvibaculaceae. The record is from RNAcentral.
CCGCCUGGGGAGUACGGUCGCAAGAUUAAAACUCAAAGGAAUUGACGGGGCCCCGCACAAGCGGUGGAGCAUGUGGUUAAUUCGACGCAACGCGCAGAACCUUACCAACCCUUGACAUCCCGGUCGCGAUUUCCAGAGAUGGAUUUCUUCAGUUCGGCUGGACCGGAGACAGGUGUUGCAUGGCUGUCGUCAGCUCGUGUCGUGAGAUGUUGGGUUAAGUCCCGCAACGAGCGCAACCCUCGCCUUUAGUUGCCAUCAUUUAGUUGGGCACUCUAGAGGGACUGCCGGUGAUAAGCCGGAGGAAGGUGGGGAUGACGUCAAGUCCUCAUGGCCCUUACGGGUUGGGCUACACACGUGCUACAAUGGCGGCGACAAUGGGCAGCAAAGGGGCGACCCGGUGCAAAUCCCAAAAAGCCGUCUCAGUUCGGAUUGUACUCUGCAACUCGAGUGCAUGAAGGUGGAAUCGCUAGUAAUCGCGUAACAGCAUGACGCGGUGAAUACGUUCCCGGGCCUUGUACACACCGCCCGUCACACCAUGGGAGUUGGUUUUACCCGAAGCUGGUGCGCUAACCGCAAGGAGGCAGCCAACCACGGUAAGGUCAGCGACUGGGGUGAAGUCGUAACAAGUCAGCCCUAGGGGAACCUGGGGCAGGAUCACCUCCUGAAGCUUGGAUCCCGGGAAUCGAAUUCCCGCGC